Molecule: long non-coding RNA, 456 nt
Organism: Rhincodon typus (whale shark)
Lineage: Eukaryota; Metazoa; Chordata; Chondrichthyes; Orectolobiformes; Rhincodontidae
Exons: 3
Source: RefSeq, a predicted model, not a curated record
CAUUAGGAUAGAGCAGGGUAGAAGUUUGACAGGAGCUCGAGCGGGAGAGGGGACGCUGGCUGGAGCCGGCAAUCCAUUUACUUCGAGAGAGAGAGAGAGAGAGAGAGGGAAAAAAAAGACAAAACAACGGAGGAAAGGAAAUUAAGUCGGAAACGAUCCUCCUUACAAACAGAAAACUAUCCAGGAUUCCUUUUCUGCUUUUUUUAAAAAUUCUGAGGGGUGUCGUUGUCAGGGGGAACCAUGUCUCGCAAAGCCGAGGAUAUCAACAGACUCACGGAGAACACCUAUAAGACUGUAAUGGAACAAUUUAAUCCAGGAUUACGGAAUCUUGUAAAUUUGGGCAAAAAUUAUGAGAAAGCUGUUAGUGCUAUGGUGGCUGCAGGAAAAACUUACUUUGACGGCAUUUCAAAAUUGGCAGAAUUGAGCUCUCAGUCACCAGUUUCCAAAGAGCUAGGU